RNAcentral lists this transfer RNA (83 nucleotides) under Candidatus Nealsonbacteria bacterium CG03_land_8_20_14_0_80_36_12. Its description in RNAcentral is "tRNA-Ser". It matches the Rfam family "tRNA". From Rfam's summary of the family: Transfer RNA (tRNA) molecules are approximately 80 nucleotides in length. Their secondary structure includes four short double-helical elements and three loops (D, anti-codon, and T loops). Further hydrogen bonds mediate the characteristic L-shaped molecular structure. tRNAs have two regions of fundamental functional importance: the anti-codon, which is responsible for specific mRNA codon recognition, and the 3' end, to which the tRNAs corresponding amino acid is attached (by aminoacyl-tRNA synthetases). tRNAs cope with the degeneracy of the genetic code in two manners: having more than one tRNA (with a specific anti-codon) for a particular amino acid; and 'wobble' base-pairing, i.e. permitting non-standard base-pairing at the 3rd anti-codon position. The record is from RNAcentral. Lineage: Bacteria; Candidatus Nealsoniibacteriota.
GGAGGGGUGGAUCGAACGGAAAGACGCGGGUUUCGAAAACCCGUGGGUGAAAGCCCUUGUGGGUUCGAAUCCCACCCCCUCCG